GACGAACGCUGGCGGCGCGCCUAACACAUGCAAGUCGAACGGAGAAAUCACUUCGGUGGUUUCUUAGUGGCGGACGGGUGAGUAACGCGUGAGCAACCUGCCCUUUUGAGGGGGAUAACGUCUGGAAACGGACGCUAAUACCGCAUAAAACAGCAGUGGGGAAUCCCACAACUGUCAAAGGAGUAAUCCGCAAAAGGAUGGGCUCGCGUCUGAUUAGAUAGUUGGUGAGGUAAUGGCUCACCAAGUCUGCGAUCAGUAGCCGGACUGAGAGGUUGAACGGCCACAUUGGGACUGAGACACGGCCCAGACUCCUACGGGUGGCAG
RNAcentral lists this ribosomal RNA (324 nucleotides) under uncultured Bacillota bacterium. RNAcentral describes it as "bacterial SSU rRNA". It matches the Rfam family "Bacterial small subunit ribosomal RNA", at positions 28 to 351 of the family's 1533-position model. The record is from RNAcentral. Lineage: Bacteria; Bacillati; Bacillota.